RNA transcript from Helianthus annuus (common sunflower), 1121 nucleotides. RefSeq lists it as uncharacterized. NCBI's taxonomy places the organism in Eukaryota, Viridiplantae, Streptophyta, Magnoliopsida, Asterales, Asteraceae. The transcript is spliced from 7 exons. The record is from RefSeq and is a predicted model, not a curated record.
UACACCUUAUGUUGAUCACCAAAAGGCGGUUACUAUUAGGAAUGAUGUUAAUCUCAAGAAAGAAACUUUGAAAGUUGAACCUGAUGAACAACACCCUGGGAAGUUUCUUGUUGUUUUUACUUAUGAUGCCACUGGCAGUAUGCUGACCGCUUACCAAUUGGAUUAGAGAAAGUGAUCCGGACAGUUUCUCCUGAAAUCGUAAAUCGAUUAUACACAAAAUGGUACAAUUUGCAGAAUAUGGCUGUCAUUGUUGUUGUUGGAGACUUUUCUGAUACGAAGAGUGUUGUCGAUUUAAUAAAGACCCACUUUGGUAGUAAAGUAUUCGCCACUGAUUACGUGGAUAUACCUAGAUUUCUAGUCCCAUCUCACGAGGAGCCUCGUAUUUCAUGUUUUAUGGAAUCUGAAGCUGCUGGGGUUAGUGUUAUACAGUUUCCAAUAAACUGUAGUCUCAUUACAGGGGAAUAUAAUUUUAAAAUCUGUAAACUAUGGUGUCAAGUUCUAAGAGUUUCUUGCAAGCCGGUGUGGUGGUUUAGUGAACACACUUUGUCUCUAAUCAAAAUAAUUUUACAGUUUCAUCAUCGAUUCGUAAUAACCAGUUAUGCUAGUGGGUUCGUCACUUUGAAGAUGGCACCUGGGAAUACAUCAAUGCGAAAUUUCUCUCAUUACUAGAUCCAGGCGACUUUUAUUUAGGAUGAUCCAAUUACCAAAUAACGGUCGGUCACACACAAGAUAUUUUCAUGGACGAGAAAUAUUCCAAGAAUUUGUCGAUUGAAAAGUUGAAGUUGCUUAGUUAUCAAGGAGCUCGUUAAGGAAAAAAGAUGAAGAAAUAGAAAGGUUAGAUGGAAUUAUUGCGGUGCUUAUGGCUGAAAUAAAAAAAGAAGAUAAUGUGGAUGAAGAUGCUAUGCUCAAUAGAAUGUCACAAAUUUAAGCUAUGUUAACAGCUACGGUUCGAAGAUAAUUUUGGUUAUUUGAUUGUUUUGAUUGUUUCGAUGUUUUGAAUGUUUCGAUAAUUUUGGUUAUUUGAUGUUUUAGUUAGAAUUUUUAUUAAAAUGUUGUAUAUGAUUUUGAAACUGGGAAAAUUGAAAUAGAAAUGUUUUAUAUAAUUUUGGGAUGUUGUAACU